ACGGGAGGCAGCAGUGAGGAAUAUUGGUCAAUGGGCGGAAGCCUGAACCAGCCAAGUCGCGUGAGGGAAGAAGGUCCUAUGGAUUGUAAACCUCUUUAGCCGGGGAGCAAUAAGCGCCACGCGUGGCGUGAUGCGAGUACCCGGAGAAUAAGGAUCGGCUAACUCCGUGCCAGCAGCCGCGGUAAUACGGAGGAUCCGAGCGUUAUCCGGAUUUAUUGGGUUUAAAGGGUGCGCAGGCGGCUUUUUAAGUCAGUGGUUAAAUCGUGAGGCUCAACCUCAUCACACCAUUGAUACUGGAGAGCUUGAUUGCGGUUGAGGUUGGCGGAAUUCGUCGGGUAGCGGUGAAAUGCAUAGAUAUGGCGAAGAACUCCGAUUGCGUAGGCAGCUGACCAGGCCGUAAAUGACGCUCAUGCACGAAAGUGCGGGGAUCGAACAGGAUUAGAUACCCUGGUA
RNAcentral lists this ribosomal RNA (453 nucleotides) under uncultured Porphyromonadaceae bacterium. RNAcentral describes it as "partial 16S ribosomal RNA". It matches the Rfam family "Bacterial small subunit ribosomal RNA", at positions 341 to 792 of the family's 1533-position model. The record is from RNAcentral. Lineage: Bacteria; Pseudomonadati; Bacteroidota; Bacteroidia; Bacteroidales; Porphyromonadaceae.